AGCUCCAAUAGCGUAUAUUAAAGUUGUUGCGGUUAAAAAGCUCGUAGUUGGAUUUCUGUCGGUGAGUGGCGCUCCACCCAUUGGGUUGGCAGUCGUCAUGCCCCCGGCAUCUUCCUGGGGACUGUAUCUGCACUUCACUGUGUGGUGCAUAAACCAGGACUUUUACUUUGAGGAAAUGAGAGUGUUUCAAGCAGGCAUGCGCCGUGAAUACGUUAGCAUGGAAUAAUAGCAUCGGACCUCGCUCCAUAGCUGUUGGUUUCUUGGGUCGAGGUAAAGAUGAAUAGGGAUUGUUGGGGGCAUUCGUAUUUAACUGUCAGAGGUGAAAUUCUUGGAUUUGUUGAAGACGGACUACUGCGAAAGCAUCUGCCAAAGAUGUUCUCA
This 381-nucleotide ribosomal RNA is filed under the name uncultured eukaryote. RNAcentral's name for it is "SSU rRNA". It matches the Rfam family "Eukaryotic small subunit ribosomal RNA", at positions 587 to 972 of the family's 1831-position model. The record is from RNAcentral.